GACGAACGCUGGCGGCGUGCCUAAUACAUGCAAGUAGAACGCUGAAGGAGGAGCUUGCUUCUCUGGAUGAGUUGCGAACGGGUGAGUAACGCGUAGGUAACCUGCCUGGUAGCGGGGGAUAACUAUUGGAAACGAUAGCUAAUACCGCAUAAUAGUAGAUGUUGCAUGACAUUUGCUUAAAAGGUGCAAUUGCAUCACUACCAGAUGGACCUGCGUUGUAUUAGCUAGUUGGUGAGGUAACGGCUCACCAAGGCGACGAUACAUAGCCGACCCGAGAGGGUGAUCGGCCAAGCUUGGACUGGGACACGGCCCAGACUCCUACGGGAGGCAGCCGUAGGGAAUCUUCGGCAAUGGGCGGAAGUCUGACCGAGCAACGCCGCGUGAGUGAAGAAGGUUUUCGGAUCGUAAAGCUCUGUUGUAAGGGAAGAACGAGUGUGAGAGUGGAAAGUUCACACUGUGACGGUAUCUUACCAGAAAGGGACGGCUAACUACGUG
RNAcentral lists this ribosomal RNA (495 nucleotides) under uncultured bacterium. RNAcentral describes it as "partial 16S ribosomal RNA". It matches the Rfam family "Bacterial small subunit ribosomal RNA", at positions 28 to 507 of the family's 1533-position model. The record is from RNAcentral.